This is a non-coding RNA of Chlorocebus sabaeus (green monkey), 2533 nucleotides long. NCBI's taxonomy places the organism in Eukaryota, Metazoa, Chordata, Mammalia, Primates, Cercopithecidae. The record is from RefSeq and is a predicted model, not a curated record.
CUCAACCUCCCAAAGUGGUGGGAUUACAGGUGUGAGUCACCAUGCCUGGCCACAAAUUCAUUUCUAAAGUAAAAAAUGAAACACUCAAUUUUACAUUUGCCUCCUGAAGACAAAUGAGAUGGCUGUUCUUAGAGCAUCUCUGAAGAAAAAUGCUGUAAAAUCUCAAAUGAUUAUUAUCUAGAAUUAGGAAAGCCAAGCCUCAAAGAAAAAUUCCUCUUAAUCAUUUGUUCAUCUCAAAAUAUUAUAAGUAAAAGUGUGGAAAAGCUUGCCAGGUUAUCAGAGAUUCUGACUUUCUUAUGUCCUAUCAGUUUACUGUCCUAUAGUUUACUUUUUAUAAAAGUAAGCUUCACAAGGACUCAUCUUUCUGCAAAAGAGAUAUUGAGAAGAUCAGUACAAUAUAUUUCUCACCAUGGUCUUAAAAAUAAUUGUGUGAUUAUUUGUUAUAACAAAAACCAGACUCUUAGAAUCCUUGAUUCUGAAAUAAGUUACUGGCAAAAAUGCCUUCACUGGAGGUAUUUUUAAAAAUAGGACAAAAUUUGGUGUCUUUAGAUUGAUAGAGGAAUAGUACUACUUGGGAGAACUGAAAUGGAUUAAAUGUUUCUUGCCAAACUUUAUUAUAUCUAUGUCCUUUGUUGGAAUGGAUAAUAAGGGGGUUUUGAGAGUUACAAGGAAUUGGCAACAGUUAAUUCUAUAAAAUAGGAACUCCAAAUGCAUGUAAGAUAUGUGGGAGGCCACACAGAUAUGGAACCAUCUGGCCUCUAUCCUGUUUGGCUGUCUGAGAGCGCCAGACUAUGCAGAAUACACAUUCAACUUUUAAACAUCCUCUUUGCAAUGUCUUCAGUCAACGAUGUCACACGCAGGUGUUAAUAUGGCGCUGUUCUUGGUUGCCCUGGCAAUUUGACAAAGUAAACUUGGAGUUUUAGCCCUUAAAAUGUACAGGUGCUAAAACUUUUUUAAAAAAAGAUUAGCUAUUUUGAGACUUCAAUAGAAUUUAACUAUUUUUAAAUGUCAAAGAAAAUCCAAAGUUCACUAAGAUGCAAUAAAGAAGUGAAAACAUUUUCUUCCCACAUUUAACGGAAGUGGUUUUACAUGCUCAAAAAGAGAUACUGACUUCAGGACCAGUGUUUUAGCAAUAAGGAAACUACUCAUAAGUAAAAAGUUCUACUUUUUAAAAACCCUGGAAAUGUCAUUACUAAAAUUGAUCACGUACCUAAUUACUUUUGGUUUUGAGUAACUUCUAGGGUGUUUAAAAAAUUAAACCCACCCUCACAGGACAGGGGUUUUCCACCAGUGAAUAUAAACAUAUAGAAAGGAAUAUGCUCUAGAGUUGGCACUCUGUUCUCAAAGGGGAGUCCCUCAAUUAGUUUGGUCAGUUUUUCUUUGAAGUAAAUCUAGUCUCUUCCAAGGUGAUACUUUGAUAAAGACAAUUAUUUUUCCAUCCGAGUUCUAUCAUGCACUCUUCUUGGAGUUGUAGUAUGGCUGCCAGCGCAUGCUUCUUUUUUCACAACCAGUAGGGGGAGCAAGAGUGCUUUUAUCGAGCAUUUGCAAGGAAAAGUUCCGGGAUUCAUCCUGACUGGUCUAGCUUAGGUCACAUACCAGUAAUUUUUGCUGGGGGAAUGGAUUCUGCAGCUUGGCUUAAACUAGACUGAAUUACUUCCAAAGUUAGAAGCAGGACUCAGUUUCCCGAAAGCUUUGUGGAGGAGAUGUGAAGAAUUCGUAUCCGGCCACUGCACUCCAGCCUGGGCGGCAGAGCGAGACUCUGUCUCAAAAAAAAAAAAAGGUGAAAAUACUGGAGUUUCAGAGUUUAAAGGUAAUGUAGAAAGUAAGCAAGUAGGCAUUGUCAGUAUCCUGAGGGAUCAUGUCUAAGAACUUUACGGAACCCAAAGGCAGAGGAGAGCCCGGAAAUGCUGGUGUCCUGAGGAACAUGCGGCAGAGGCACUGCUCUUCCUGGGCCCCUAGGGGCGCACCGCUGAGAAACAUCAAAAGCCGCUUCAGUUUGGCAGUCUGGAAAAGAUCUUCCAGCUGAAAUCAAGACUUCAAAAAGUCCAAUGUUGAAGCAGUUCUGAAUUGAGAUCUCGUAAUUCCCAAGGACAUAGUGAAUUGAGUUGGAAUUCCUGUACUGAACAUAGUUGAUAAAGCAUCAUGGCCAGCGCAUAAGUAAGUCCAGAUAAUGUGAGUAAGCAGAGACAAGCAAGGAUGUCUAUUUUCCCCCAUAUUUAAGACAAGUUUGCUGGCAGCUAAGCUGUGAGCAUGGUAAGCAGAUUUUCAAAAAGAACUAUUCUCAUUUAUAUAGCAUCCUUGUACAGUUGCACUGUUCUUUGUGUUUUACAUAUCGUAACUCAUUUGAUCCUGACAACUCCAUGGCAAGGUAGGAUUGUUGUUGUUAUCAUUUUAUUAAUGAGGAAAAUGUGGCUUAAUGACAUUAAGACAUUUGCCCAUGUUCCAGGACAAUUUAGGCAGAACCAGGAUUUGAAUUCAUGUCAUCCUGAAAACCAGUUUUUCAUUUGUCUCUUUGUUUCUGUUUUUUGUUUGU